Molecule: non-coding RNA, 272 nt
Filed under: Emticicia aquatica
Lineage: Bacteria; Pseudomonadati; Bacteroidota; Cytophagia; Cytophagales; Leadbetterellaceae
Source: RNAcentral
ACAUUUGUCAUGAAUUAUGGUGCUAUCGGUUUAAAACUUCAUUUAUACUUUUAGCUUAAUAGGGAAUCUCGUAAAGCAAUUUUUUUUGCCCUAAUCGAGAACUGUCCCCGCAACUGUAAGUCUUAUCCAAAUAAUUUUAUUAAAGAUUAGAUGGAAACUGAUUGCUCAAUUCUAGGCAUACUUAGCUUUACCACUGCUUAAAUUUUACGAGCGGGAAGGUGUUGUAAUCAGUGAGACAAGUCAGGAGACCUGCCUUAAUUUAUGUGUUUUGC